RNAcentral lists this ribosomal RNA (451 nucleotides) under uncultured bacterium. RNAcentral's name for it is "bacterial SSU rRNA". It matches the Rfam family "Bacterial small subunit ribosomal RNA", at positions 329 to 794 of the family's 1533-position model. The record is from RNAcentral.
CCCCAGACUCCUACGGGAGGCAGCAGUGGGGAAUAUUGGGCAAUGGGCGCAAGCCUGACCCAGCAACGCCGCGUGAAGGAAGAAGGCUUUCGGGUUGUAAACUUCUUUUCUAAGGGACGAAGAAAGUGACGGUACCUUAGGAAUAAGCUCCGGCUAACUACGUGCCAGCAGCCGCGGUAAUACGUAGGGAGCGAGCGUUGUCCGGAUUUACUGGGUGUAAAGGGCGUGUAGCCGGGCUGACAAGUCAGAUGUGAAAUUCCGGGGCUCAACCCCGGACCUGCAUUUGAAACUGUUGGUCUUGAGUAUCGGAGAGGCAGGCGGAAUUCCUAGUGUAGCGGUGAAAUGCGUAGAUAUUAGGAGGAACACCAGUGGCGAAGGCGGCCUGCUGGACGACAACUGACGGUGAGGCGCGAAAGCGUGGGGAGCAAACAGGAUUAGAUACCCCUGUAGA